Non-coding RNA from Paramormyrops kingsleyae, 448 nucleotides. NCBI's taxonomy places the organism in Eukaryota, Metazoa, Chordata, Actinopteri, Osteoglossiformes, Mormyridae. The record is from RefSeq and is a predicted model, not a curated record.
UUAAAAGCUGGAGACUCAUAGUGAGGCUGGAGAGAAAGGAUGCCAUUCACUCCCAUUACAUUUGAGAGAAGCCCGACAUUUCUACGACCGACAUCAAAACAAGGCAUCUCCCAGCAGAACGACCUAGAUGGAUAGAUAGCACUAAACCUCCUCUAAAAGAUAUACUUUUUUGGUUUUAGGGUGAACUGCCCCUUUAAAUGUUUGUUAAUUUUAUACAUUGGUUGAUUUAUAUAGGUAUGGUAAUUAUCCUGAGCUCUAGAAUUUUCUAUAAUUCUAGAGCUCUAUAAUGUUAGAACAAUUAUGGCCUGUAGGAGCCACGUGUCUCCUAGGGGUUUAUGUAGUAAUAUUUAGUUAUGUUUUUAUCUUGUUAUUAAUGUCUUAAUGCUUUCAUUUCUGUUUAAUGAUGUAUCUAAGAGGUGCCUGUCAAUUAAAACAUUCUUGGACCCUU